GUGCACAAUUUCAUUGUCUUUUUUCCUUUACAUCAGGAAAAAAGAUAUUUCUGAUGUGCUAAAUAAACUUUCGGAGGUCUAUUAGCAGCAUGACUAAUAUAGCCAUUGCUGUCAGUCACCUUCAGACAAGC
Non-coding RNA from Ailuropoda melanoleuca (giant panda), 131 nucleotides. NCBI's taxonomy places the organism in Eukaryota, Metazoa, Chordata, Mammalia, Carnivora, Ursidae. The record is from Rfam.